ACGGGGCGCAGCAGGCGCGAAAACUUCACACUGCAGGAAACUGUGAUGAGGGAACUCCUAGUGCAUGCACUAUGUGUAUGUAGAUCCUACUUUUAAUCAGUAGAGGGAAAGGGCUGGGAAAGACCGGUGCCAGCAGCCGCGGUAAU
RNAcentral lists this ribosomal RNA (146 nucleotides) under uncultured archaeon. RNAcentral's name for it is "partial 16S ribosomal RNA". It matches the Rfam family "Archaeal small subunit ribosomal RNA", at positions 325 to 474 of the family's 1478-position model. The record is from RNAcentral.